UGCUCUUAUGCUGAUGUAGGAUGCCCUGUG
RNAcentral lists this non-coding RNA (30 nucleotides) under Homo sapiens (human). Lineage: Eukaryota; Metazoa; Chordata; Mammalia; Primates; Hominidae. The record is from RNAcentral.